Hydractinia symbiolongicarpus is the source of this 5149-nucleotide long non-coding RNA. RefSeq lists it as uncharacterized. The transcript is spliced from 2 exons. NCBI's taxonomy places the organism in Eukaryota, Metazoa, Cnidaria, Hydrozoa, Anthoathecata, Hydractiniidae. The record is from RefSeq and is a predicted model, not a curated record.
UUUCUCAGAGCAUGGACUUAAUUGUUAAUGUAAUGUUGGAUCAUCCUCAUUCAACCGUUUUAUCUUUCUGAUUAUAAAAUAGAUGACUCAAGUAUUUUGAUAUUAAUAAAUAGAUCACAGAAAGAAUGAUAUUUUGCUUUACUAUACCUAGCUAGCUGCUCCCCACUUUUUUGGACACACAGGCCAGUCCUUUUGAAUAAAAGCUGACGAAGUAACUAGCUAGCAUGAAACCACAAGAAGCAGGGUUCGAAGAAUGUGAGGCCCAACUACACAAAACUAUGACCGGUGACAAUUUAGGGACUUGAUAUGUAAAAAAGGUAGCUACAUCUAUAUUAUAAUACCCAUAUACAUCUGUCUGUCUGUCACGCAAAAUGGUAGCUUAGCUGCGCCAAGUAGCGAGACACAUGCAAUGCAGUAUAAAAAGGACGGGCGAACCUGUAACGACUAGUAGCUAGAUAAAAACAAAAAAACAAAAAGAAGCAGAAACAAAUUAGCACACACAAAUACACAACAUAAUCAUACAACAAAACAGUAAUACAAAACAGUAAUACAAAACAAACAGUAAUAUGUACAGAUGCAUACAAAACUACUUAAUAUAAUACAGCAAGGUUUUAGCAAUUGACAUUAAACAGGGUGGAAAUAAAACGUUUACAAAUGCUGCCUAAUAAAUUUUUAGAACCAUUUAAGAUUUUUCAAAAAAGUGGAAAGAUUUGUAAACAACUUUUCAAGCUCCUUCAUAUGAACUUCCUGCAAGGAGCAUGCAGAAUAAUAAAUAUAUAUGCCAGAUGAUAAAAUGAUCUUUUUUUCAUAAGUUAAGAAUUAUUAGACUUUUUGAUAAUUUGUUAAUUUGUCAUUCUAAAUAUAUAUAGCUCUACUGUCAGGAAUCCUGUAGUAAUAUUUUAGCAAUUUUGAAGUGUAGUAUCUCAAUAAAUGUAUACCUAUGAUUGCUACAAUUGUUCGUUUACGGGAUGUAUAUGUAGUGUGUAUAUAUUUAGUCAUUUUCAGUUUAACAUAAACAUGUGAUUUUUCGUCUACUAUAGUGUCAAAAACUGCAAUUUUAGGUGGUACAAAAUUGUCUUCAUGUUAAGUUAAUGUGUUAGUUUUUUGAAGGUUAUAAUUAUUUUUUCUUGACAAUUUAAAAUAAAUUUUAAAAAAUGAUCAUGUGCUUAUAGUAAAGCUAAGGGGGCACGAGGAACAUAUCUAAUUUGUACUGCAAUGGAGCAAAAAAUGUUGCAUGGAGCAACAUUUUUUUGCUCCACAACUUUUGGGACAAAAUAUAUCUGAAUCUGUUUUGUACCUGUGCUCUGGGGACAAAAUUUGAUGAACAUUUUGUUGCAUAGCAAAUGUUGCUCGUGUCACCACCUGCUUCAACAUCCUGGGACAAAAUUAUUGUUAUGACACAUUUGUGCCUUGUGUCCCCAUAUCAUGCAACAAAUAUUUUGCAAAAUCAUUUGAGGCAGUCAAUUACACUAUGUAGUGUAAUUGACCAAUUAAAAUGCAAGAAACAUUGCUUUUCUUGAGUCCAACAUUAGUGAAGAGAGAAAACAGGAGAAAAAGCAAAAAUGCCGGAUGAAAAGACAAAGCUAUCUGAUGAGGAAAAGACAAUUUUAAUUGACUUUUAUAAAACAAAUUCUGCAUUAUGGGAUAGUAAGGAUAUACUUUUGUAGUAUACUACAAAAAUAAUAAUAUCUGGUUAGUUACUUCAACAGCGCAUACAGCUCCAAUAACUUCGAAUAAACUUUACACUUACUUCACAUCUAUACUUUGGGAUGUAGGAACAUUUAAAUCAAAGUUUUUCAUAAGACAAUUCUGCAGCUAAUCAGAAGUGACAUCACAAAAAACAUUUCAUGCGCAUGCUAUGGGACAUGUUGCAUAGCGUGGGAAUGAAAAUAUCCCUCGUGUCCCCUUACCUUAAUGAGCUAUAAGCACAUUUUCAAAUGCAUUCUAAUUAAAAAUUGAUGUCAUUGAUGUAAGAAUAAGUUAAUAUUUGCUCUUUUUGUGUUAAACACCAUCCAAAUUGUUUUAAAGUAAUGUAUGAUACUUGCUGAGAAAAACAAUAGCUACAUAGUAACUAGUGUAGAUAUAUAACUAGUUAUUAAGCUGCAUUUUGUUUUACAUUGGGACUAUUUAGCAAAUUCAGGACUUUAGGAUAUUUGAUCCAUGUUAUUUUCUUCUUUUUAGAUACUGAUUUUCUAGAUUAAGAAAGCACACAAGUUUCAAAAGUGACCAAAAAGUUAUGAUGGUUUUGGUUUCGGCUCAGGUCAUCACUACCUUCACAAAGUGCAGAAAAAAGGUGCAAAUUGAUCUCUUAUUUUAAUUAUUCUUUAAUAAUUCAUGAAAUAUAAUAAAUUUUGUUUCUACACAAAAGCAUCGUUUCUCCUUUGUAAUUGUUAAUAUGCACAGCAUUUUCUUGUUUAUACAUUUUGUUUCCUUUUCGGAAUGUGUGUUUUUACAUUCGUUCUCUAGGAAACUGUAUCACUAACAAAAGCAGUAAACAAAGGGACUCCAACAGUGUGUGUUUCAUGUACUUUUUGUUACAAAGAAAUAAAUUGAGCCACUUCUGUUGCAAAAAAAGCUGGGGGAGAAGGCAUUUGCUAUUUUUUGAUUUGAAAUGUAUGGAAUCAUCCAUAAAGGAUGUUUGAAUCUUUGAGAGUAAGGUGUCUUGAUUGUAUUUUUACUGAUUUCGUUGUCGUCUUUGAAGGGAAGAGUAUUGUACUUUAUUUUGUUUGUUGUGUGUGGAUGUUAUUUCAGAAGCCCUGGUUACAAAGUUUUUCUCUAAUUUAAGAAGCACGAUUAUCAGGAACAAAUACCAAGAAUAUAUUUCCCUGUCAAUAAAUGCCCAGAAUGUAUUCAAGCUUCUUUCCAAUGGGGAAAAAACCUUGUAGCCAUUUGAAAUGAAAAUAAAGUAUACAAUUUUCGAAGUACUCAAAGUUGCUAUUUUUGACAUAUUUAGAAACAGCUGCUUUAGAAUUUUAUGCUCACAACAAGGUAAGCAUUUGCACAAAUCUUGCAUUGAUUUUCAGUCUUUUAUUUUGCAUUGUUUUCUCAGAGAAUUAUUUUUUAAUUUCCAUUGUUUCUCUAGAAAAUAGUUUUAAUCUUUUUUCAGAAAAUUUUUCUUUAAUUUGGCUCUUUCCUCCGAAACUUAUUUUUUAAUUUAGCUUUUUUUCCACAGAGGUUAAAAUUGUCUCUCUUGCUGUUAUAGAAAAUGAUUAAAUCCAUAUUAACUAGAAAUGCAAAUGCUUUAUUGAUGAUACAUUAUAAUCGAGGCUAAACAAAUCUUUGGUAAAAAAUAAUGAUAACUUAUUUUGAAUUUAAAUGAUUUAUUAAUAGUAGAAACAAAUUCAGGUUGAAUGGGGGCUGUUCCCUAUCAACUGGAUUUUCCUCCAUAUCGGGCAACAGUCUUCGAAUGUCAGAUAUAAAAGAUUGCAGAAGUAACAUAUCACUGUGGCAGAAAAACUGCCAAAGACAAUGGUCAAAAGCAAAUGUCUCUGCAGAUUUUUUAAUUUUUUAAAAUUAAAAAAAUAUAUAUUAUCGAAGUGAGCAGUGAGAAGUUUUUUGUCAUUGUGGUGGGAUCUAGGAGUAUGAAAAAUUUGAAUAUAUAAUCAUAAAAAAAGCCUUAUAACUGCUUAUAAUUUGGCAUUUGCUGAAGCAAAAUUUGAAGGCUGGGGCAAAAUUUGAAGAUGUUUUUGAUUUGAAAAAAUUUGAUUUGUACUAACAUUUUUACACUAUAUUAAAUUAAAAUUAUGAUAAUAGAGAAAAGAAAAAUUUAAUGUAAUGACCUCAUUAUUUGCCAAUAAUGGGGUCAUUAUGAUUUCACUUUCAAGUAAGUAACUUUGUGAAAAAAAUCUGAAAAACAUUAAAGACCAGACUGUAACUGAAAGCUAACUUCACAAAUUGUGUAAUCAAAAAGAAAAGGUUUAUUUAUCUUCUUUUUUUACAUAUAUUACUAUAUGUACAAUGAGGAGUAGACCAUGAAAACCAUUAAGUUUUUAGUAGCAAGCGAAACUUAUCUUCACCAAGUAGCACCAUAAUUCUAAAUUCAGAGGAAUAUGCAGUGUAAAUUUGAUGAAGGGUUGUGUAAUUUAACAAGUGUGAGUAAAAUUAGUUGCAGAAUGACAAGCUAUAUUGUGUCAGUGCCUGAAGAUUUUUUUAUAUUUCACAAAAUUGCGGUAUCAAAAAUACCAUGUUCAAGGCAUGAUCAGCGUUUUUUUCAGGAUUUUUUUACUACUGUUAAACAGUAGUAAAAAAAUCACUCUUGAAGUUGGGUUUUAACUCAAUCUUAUAAAAUAAAAAAAUAUUUGAGGUAAAAAAAUGCUUAUUUGAUUCAAUUUUAAAAUUAAAAAUUCUCUAAAAACAGAAAAGUAAAACAUUCAGAUGAGAAAAAGGUUGAAUGAUGGAUAAACACAAAUAAAAACAUCAACAUGUGUACCAAUGUACGGCUUUUUAAAAAGACGCUCCAACUUUGUCUACCAUUGUCUUUAUGCCAUAAACGAACCUAACGGUGGUUGAAGAAACUUAAAGCUUCUCCGGGAGUAAAUUUAUUUUUAAAGAAAAGAGUUUAAGCACAAGGUAUGUUACAGAAGAAUAUUGGUUGUUCGUUACCGUAAUAGUAGUAGUACAAAUCCCUAAUUUAGCUGCACAACUUGUUUUGAUCACAACUAAAGUCAUUCCAAAAAAUAUGCUAGACUAGCUAUGUCCAUUUUUUGUUUUAAAAACACUGUUUUGCAGGAUGUGUAAUCAACAAACAUUCAAAGAAUUUUGUCUUACUUGUUUCCUGUUUAAUUAGCUGUGAAAUUUAUGCAUCAGCAAUAUAGCGCUGUUAUCGAUAUUGGCAGAGAAAACAAAUCAACUAAAUGAUAAAUAUUGCUUAACAUUGCUUAUAGCUAUGUAGCAAAUCAAGUGGCCAUACAGUGAUCAAUUUUUAUUUAGCAAUAAAUUUAUUGUUUUUUAUCUAAUUAUCGCUAAAUAGUUAUCGUUAAUUAUUGCUUGCUAUCAAAUUCCCUGCAAUUAUCACAUAGCUGCAGUCAUCGCAUUUUCCUUCUUUAAAGGUCCUUGUGCUAAUCACAGAUAAAAUUGAUCUUCAUUGUAUAUCAAUGACAAAAUCCAAUUUUGAUGGCAAUUUUCCUCAAAUAAUUAUUUUUAUUCAAAU